Molecule: ribosomal RNA, 248 nt
Filed under: uncultured Eubacteriales bacterium
Lineage: Bacteria; Bacillati; Bacillota; Clostridia; Eubacteriales
Description: uncultured Clostridiales bacterium partial 16S ribosomal RNA
Rfam family: Bacterial small subunit ribosomal RNA
Source: RNAcentral
GGGGAAUAUUGCGCAAUGGGGGGAACCCUGACGCAGCAACGCCGCGUGGAGGAAGAAGGUCUUCGGAUUGUAAACUCCUUUGAUGAGGGACGAAGCAAGCGACGGUACCUCAGGAACAAGCCACGGCUAACAACGUGCCAGCAGCCGCGGUAAUACGUAGGUGGGGAGCGUGGUCCGGAAUUUUAGGGGGCAACGGGCGUGCGGGCGGGGUGGCAAGUCUGGUGUGAAAUACCGGGGCGCAAAGCUGG